This 1175-nucleotide ribosomal RNA is filed under the name Cereibacter azotoformans. Its description in RNAcentral is "bacterial LSU rRNA". It matches the Rfam family "Bacterial large subunit ribosomal RNA", at positions 1678 to 2873 of the family's 2925-position model. Lineage: Bacteria; Pseudomonadati; Pseudomonadota; Alphaproteobacteria; Rhodobacterales; Paracoccaceae. The record is from RNAcentral.
AUACCAAGGCGCUUGAGAGAACCACAUCAAAGGAACUCGGCAAAAUGCCUCCGUAAGUUCGCGAGAAGGAGGCCCCGUCUUUGGGCAACCAGAGGCGGGGGGCACAAACCAGGGGGUGGCGACUGUUUACUUAAAACACAGGGCUCUGCGAAGCCGCAAGGCGACGUAUAGGGUCUGACGCCUGCCCGGUGCUGGAAGGUUAAAAGGAGAGGUGCAAGCCUUGAAUUGAAGCCCCAGUAAACGGCGGCCGUAACUAUAACGGUCCUAAGGUAGCGAAAUUCCUUGUCGGGUAAGUUCCGACCUGCACGAAUGGCGUAACGAUCUCCCCGCUGUCUCUGAUGUGGACUCAGCGAAAUUGAACUGUGUGUCAAGAUGCACACUUCCCGCGGUUAGACGGAAAGACCCCAUGAACCUUUACUAUAGCUUCGCACUGGCAUCAGGAAUGUGAUGUGCAGGAUAGGUGGUAGGCAUCGAAACGGGGACGCCAGUUCCCGUGGAGCCAACCUUGAGAUACCACCCUUCGCAUUCUUGAUGUCUAACCGCGGUCCAUUACCUGGAUCCGGGACCCUGCGUGGUGGGUAGUUUGACUGGGGCGGUCGCCUCCCAAACAGUAACGGAGGCGCGCGAUGGUGGGCUCAGACCGGUCGGAAAUCGGUCGUCGAGUGCAAUGGCAGAAGCCCGCCUGACUGCAAGACUGACAAGUCGAGCAGAGACGAAAGUCGGCCAUAGUGAUCCGGUGGUCCCGAGUGGAAGGGCCAUCGCUCAACGGAUAAAAGGUACUCUGGGGAUAACAGGCUGAUGAUGCCCAAGAGUCCAUAUCGACGGCAUCGUUUGGCACCUCGAUGUCGGCUCAUCUCAUCCUGGGGCUGGAGCAGGUCCCAAGGGUAUGGCUGUUCGCCAUUUAAAGAGGUACGUGAGCUGGGUUUAGAACGUCGUGAGACAGUUCGGUCCCUAUCUGCCGUGGGUGUAGGAGACUUGAGAAGAGUUGCCCCUAGUACGAGAGGACCGGGGUGAACGAACCACUGGUGGACCAGUUGUCGUGCCAACGGCAGUGCUGGGUAGCUAUGUUCGGACAGGAUAACCGCUGAAGGCAUCUAAGCGGGAAGCCCCCUUCAAAACAAGGUCUCCCUUGAGGGCCGUGGAAGACCACCACGUCGAUAGGCCAGAGGUGUAAG